This 486-nucleotide ribosomal RNA is filed under the name uncultured Alphaproteobacteria bacterium. Its description in RNAcentral is "bacterial SSU rRNA". It matches the Rfam family "Bacterial small subunit ribosomal RNA", at positions 9 to 524 of the family's 1533-position model. Lineage: Bacteria; Pseudomonadati; Pseudomonadota; Alphaproteobacteria. The record is from RNAcentral.
GAGUUUGAUCAUGGCUCAGGACUAACGCUGGCGGCGUGCCUAACACAUGCAAGUCGAACGAGGUAGCAAUACCUAGUGGCAGACGGGUGAGUAACGCGUAGGUAAUGUGCCCUCCUGCGGGGGAUACCGUUCCGAAAGGGACGUUAAUACCGCAUAACAUACCUUAGGGGCAUCUCUAGGGUAUCAAACUUCCGGGGUAGGGGGAGCAGCCUGCGUUCUAUCAGCUUGUUGGUGAGGUAACGGCUCACCAAGGCGACGACGGAUAACUGGUCUGAGAGGAUGACCAGCCACAUUGGGACUGAGACACGGCCCAAACUCCUACGGGAGGCAGCAGUGGGGAAUAUUGGACAAUGGGCGCAAGCCUGAUCCAGCCAUGCCGCGUGAGUGAUGACGGCCUUAGGGUUGUAAAGCUCUUUCGCACGCGACGAUAAUGACGGUAGCGUGAGAAGAAGCCCCGGCUAACUUCGUGCCAGCCGCCGCAGUAAC